This 73-nucleotide transfer RNA is filed under the name Canis lupus familiaris (dog). It matches the Rfam family "tRNA". From Rfam's summary of the family: Transfer RNA (tRNA) molecules are approximately 80 nucleotides in length. Their secondary structure includes four short double-helical elements and three loops (D, anti-codon, and T loops). RNAcentral also lists the same sequence under 2 other names. The record is from Rfam by way of RNAcentral. Lineage: Eukaryota; Metazoa; Chordata; Mammalia; Carnivora; Canidae.
GCCUGACUUGCUCAGUAAGUAGAGCAUGUGACUUGUGAUCUCAGGGUUGUGAGUUCAAGCUCCACGUUGAGUG